UCGACCUCAGAGCAGGUGAGAUUACCCGCCGAAUUUA
RNAcentral lists this ribosomal RNA (37 nucleotides) under Timarcha granadensis. Its description in RNAcentral is "partial 28S ribosomal RNA". The record is from RNAcentral. Lineage: Eukaryota; Metazoa; Arthropoda; Insecta; Coleoptera; Chrysomelidae.